GUGGGGAAUAUUAGACAAUGGGCGAAAGCCUGAUCCAGCCAUGCCGCGUGUGUGAAGAAGGUCUUCGGAUUGUAAAGCACUUUAAGUUGGGAGGAAGGGCAGUAAGUUAAUACCUUGCUGUUUUGACGUUACCGACAGAAUAAGCACCGGCUAACUUCGUGCCAGCAGCCGCGGUAAUACGAAGGGUGCAAGCGUUAAUCGGAAUUACUGGGCGUAAAGCGCGCGAAGGUGGUUUUGUAAGUUGGAGGUGAAAUCCCCGGGCUCAACCUGUGAACUGCCUACAAAACUGCAUGACUAGAGUACGGUAGAUGGUAGUGGAAUUUCCUGUGUAGCGGUGAAAUGCGUAGAUAUAGGAAGGAACACCAGUGGCGAAGGCGACUACCUGGACUGAUACUGACACUGAGGUGCGAAAGCGUGGGGAGCAAACAGGAUUAGAAACCCUUGUAGUCC
This 450-nucleotide ribosomal RNA is filed under the name uncultured bacterium. RNAcentral's name for it is "bacterial SSU rRNA". It matches the Rfam family "Bacterial small subunit ribosomal RNA", at positions 354 to 796 of the family's 1533-position model. The record is from RNAcentral.